This 405-nucleotide ribosomal RNA is filed under the name uncultured bacterium. RNAcentral's name for it is "partial 16S ribosomal RNA". It matches the Rfam family "Bacterial small subunit ribosomal RNA", at positions 30 to 526 of the family's 1533-position model. The record is from RNAcentral.
ACUGAACGCUAGCGGGAUGCUUUACACAUGCAAGUCGAACGAGUGGCGGACGGGUGAGUAAUAUAUCGGAACGUGCCCAGUAGCGGGGGAUAACUACCCGAAAGAGUGGAUAAUACCGCACACUAUUGGAGCGGCCGAUAUUGGAUUAGUUAGUUGGUGGGGUAAAUGCUCACCAAGGCAACGAUCCGUAGCUGGUUUGAGAGGACGACCCGCCAAACUUGGACUGAGACACGGCCCAGACUUCUACAGAAGGCAGCAGUGGGCGAUUGUGGACAAUGGGAGAAACCCUGAUCCAGCCAUCCCGCGUGUGUGAGAAGGCCUUCGGAUUGUAAAGUACUUUUGGCAGAGAAGCGGUAUCUGCAGAAUAAGCACCGGCUAACUACGUGCCAGCAACCGCGGUAAUAC